This 702-nucleotide long non-coding RNA is filed under the name Lactuca sativa (garden lettuce). Its description in RNAcentral is "long non-coding RNA (LSAT_LNC007821)". Lineage: Eukaryota; Viridiplantae; Streptophyta; Magnoliopsida; Asterales; Asteraceae. The record is from RNAcentral.
CAACACUCUAAAACCAAACACAUAGCACUGAGGUAUCACUUCAUCAAAGAUCAUGUGGAAGAUGGAAACGUCGAAGUUCACUUCGUAAGAACCACUGAUCAACUGGCUGACGUCUUUACCAAAGCUCUUCCUGAAGCAUCAUUCAACAGAAUAUUGCAAGGGCUAGGUAUGAUGGAAUCAGAGUCAGUACCUCACACUACCUCUCAACCUCAAACGUAAGAAGCGAAAUUGACCGAACGCUCAGGUUCGGUUAAAUAAUCUGACUCGCUCAUCACCACAAAGGUAGUUUUCUUGAUUGUAUAUUUCUUGUACAAAGUUGUUUAUCUUAUUGUUAAAAGUAUUUUCUGAUUGAAUGUCUAAAUUCCUUGGUUUCUUAAAAUUUUCCAAAACCGAAACCUACCGAAGGUUCGGGUUCGGUUUCUUAAAAUUUUCCAAAACCGAAACCUACCGAAGGUUCGGGUUCGGUUUCUCAAAAUUUUCCAAAACCGAAACCUACCGAAGGUUCGGGUUCGGUUUUUCAAAAUUUUCUUGAACCGAAACCAACCGAACGCUCGGGUUCGGUUUUUCAAAAUUUUCUGGAACCGAAACCAACCGAACGCUCGGGUUCGGUUUUUCAACUUUUUCCCAACCGAACGUUCGGGUUCGGUUUUUCAUUUUUUUCCAAGUUUUUUUUAAGUCUUAUUUUUUUUCUUUCUUACUUAU